Molecule: small nucleolar RNA, 130 nt
Organism: Suncus etruscus (white-toothed pygmy shrew)
Lineage: Eukaryota; Metazoa; Chordata; Mammalia; Eulipotyphla; Soricidae
Product: small nucleolar RNA SNORA22
Exons: 1
Source: RefSeq, a predicted model, not a curated record
UCGCACAGUGAACACCUAAGUGUGUUUUGUAGUUCCCUUGGUUUUAACACUGUGCUAGAACAAUGUGUCUUCUUUACCGUUGUGUUGAAAGGCCAAUAUUUUUAACUGUACUCAGAAAUUCAGCACUUUG